UGGGGAAUAUUGGGCAAUGGGCGCAAGCCUGACCCAGCCAUGCCGCGUGAGUGAUGAAGGCCUUCGGGUCGUAAAGCUCUGUGGGGAGGGACGAAAUGCUCCUGGCUAAUAUCCAGGGGAGCUGACGGUACCUCCUUAGCAAGCACCGGCUAACUCCGUGCCCGCAGCCGCGGUAAUACGGAGGGUGCAAACGUUGCUCGGAAUCAUUGGGCGUAAAGCGCACGUAGGCGGCUCGUUAAGUCGGUUGUGAAAUCCCUGGGCUCAACCCAGGAAGAGCAAUCGAAACUGGCGAGCUUGAAUAUGGAAGAGGGUCGCGGAAUUCCCGGUGUAGAGGUGAAAUUCGUAGAUAUCGGGAGGAACAUCAGUGGCGAAGGCGGCGACCUGGGCCAAUAUUGACGCUGAGGUGCGAAAGCGUGGGGAGCAAAC
Molecule: ribosomal RNA, 426 nt
Filed under: uncultured bacterium
Lineage: Bacteria
Description: bacterial SSU rRNA
Rfam family: Bacterial small subunit ribosomal RNA
Source: RNAcentral